This is a non-coding RNA of Rattus norvegicus (Norway rat), 1245 nucleotides long. Lineage: Eukaryota; Metazoa; Chordata; Mammalia; Rodentia; Muridae. The record is from RefSeq and is a predicted model, not a curated record.
ACUCUUUCAUUCAGCUUCUACUGACACCCACUAUCUCAGACAUAGUGGCUCAAAGAUACAUGAGUUCUGGCCUUAAGCAUCUGACAUCCCAUAUGAACUUCCUCUCAAACUUUAAACCGGGAGAAGGAUCCUGUAACAUCUGUAGAGUCUUAACCUCCUUUUCAGAGUUCAUGAGGUGAUGGAUGAUAGACACUGUAUGCAAGAAGACCUGCUUAACCCUGCCCCUUCUCUGCCAGGGAGCGCUCUCUCUGGGGCUUCCCCAAACCCUACUUCCUCUGGCGCCUUUGGCAGACUAGAAGGGCUGUGGUCUGUGCUGCUCGGCUCUGCUCUGCAGUGUAUGAGCCCUUGUUAGGACUGGUGGUGCCAGGAAGGAGCUGCAUUAACGGGAGCGUUUGGGGAAAAAGACAAAAACACUAAUCACCACCCGAAAUGUACACGCUAUUUCCCAUCUGGUGUGCGGAAUUGGAUCGUCUCGGGAGUCUCGGGGAAAAUGCGGCAGAUGGGCUGGGCUUGGAGCUCCUCUCCCCACAGGCAGUGGGGAAAAGAGGAAGUGGCUUGGCACACGAAGCUGGCUUGAGCGAGGGAUGGUGGGCCCCACCGGGUACCCAUCAACCACGGCCUGAGGAAGCUGCCCACCUUCUGAUGCCUGAUGCCUGCAGCAGCUGUGCCGCUUGCCCUGUGGAUUUGGAUCCAAUCUGGGAAGCAGUGUUGCAAGCUCUGGGGUUACUGAAUCUCUGCUUAGUCUGCAGUGGUGCUGGGAAAAGAUUCACCGGCAUCAAACACCUGCUGGUGUGCUUUUCUAGUUGUGCUCUCCGGACUGGGUGGGAGGUGGGGAUAGGGAUGUCAUUCUCCGAGGGUCAUUUGUGUUGUCUGUCAGUCCCUAAGAGGUUCUGAUGAGGCCAAUGAGAAGCCAUCUCUGCCUGUAGGUCACUACCUGCCUCUGACACCCUGAUCAGGACAUUUGGGGGUUCUCGAUAGAGGACAGGGCCUAAUGAUACUUUUUCACAGGAAGAAGACUCACCCUAGAGCUCUUGGCCUGCCAGGACAAGUGAAGAGAUCCUCUAGCAUCCCCAUGCUGUGCCACUAUAUUGGACUUGUGUGUCACAGUCCUAUGAGUGGGUGAGUCAGGAUAGGUUCAUUGGCAGCAAGCAAGAGGCUGGACCUGUUUCUGGAAGUAGAAGGAGAGAAACUGAGAGGGAAUAAGCAGGUGGAAAGCAAUGUUUCUGACAGGAAAGACUCCAAAGA